This 480-nucleotide ribosomal RNA is filed under the name Arthrobacter citreus. Its description in RNAcentral is "bacterial SSU rRNA". It matches the Rfam family "Bacterial small subunit ribosomal RNA", at positions 112 to 604 of the family's 1533-position model. Lineage: Bacteria; Bacillati; Actinomycetota; Actinomycetes; Micrococcales; Micrococcaceae. The record is from RNAcentral.
AACACGUGAGUAACCUGCCCUUAACUUCGGGAUAAGCCUGGGAAACCGGGUCUAAUACCGGAUACGACGGACCACCGCAUGGCGGUCCGUGGAAAGCUUGAUGCGGUUUUGGAUGGACUCGCGGCCUAUCAGCUAGUUGGUUGGGGUAAUGGCCCACCAAGGCGACGACGGGUAGCCGGCCUGAGAGGGUGACCGGCCACACUGGGACUGAGACACGGCCCAGACUCCUACGGGAGGCAGCAGUGGGGAAUAUUGCACAAUGGGCGAAAGCCUGAUGCAGCGACGCCGCGUGAGGGACGAAGGCCUUCGGGUUGUAAACCUCUUUCAGCAGGGAAGAAGCGAAAGUGACGGUACCUGCAGAAGAAGCGCCGGCUAACUACGUGCCAGCAGCCGCGGUAAUACGUAGGGCGCAAGCGUUAUCCGGAAUUAUUGGGCGUAAAGAGCUCGUAGGCGGUUUGUCGCGUCUGCUGUGAAAGCCCG